Papilio polytes (common Mormon) is the source of this 302-nucleotide long non-coding RNA. RefSeq lists it as uncharacterized. Lineage: Eukaryota; Metazoa; Arthropoda; Insecta; Lepidoptera; Papilionidae. The record is from RefSeq and is a predicted model, not a curated record. The transcript has 4 exons.
ACUUUAAAUUCCGUAGAUGACGGCUCUUUGAAAGGAAUACACACACAUUAAAGGGAACAUUCGCAUGCAAGCUAGUGCCAGCUGUAGAAAUAUGCUGUCAUCUGCAUUCGCUUCUUCCCCAGAUCUGGGAGUGGCGUACAGUAACCAUGCGUUUAGUUUAGAGUAUAAUUACCCGAAUUCAAGUCAGUCGUCGAAAGGUGCAGAAUCAGGCAGCAAGAAGCCUGGAAAAUCGUAGCCUUUGAAUUUCUAUGUCUACUCCAAUAUCAAGUGAAAAUGUUUGUACAUCUAAUAAACAUCUCAAA